RNAcentral lists this ribosomal RNA (492 nucleotides) under uncultured bacterium. Its description in RNAcentral is "partial 16S ribosomal RNA". It matches the Rfam family "Bacterial small subunit ribosomal RNA", at positions 29 to 507 of the family's 1533-position model. The record is from RNAcentral.
AGUGAACGCUGGCGGUAGGCCUAACACAUGCAAGUCGAACGGCAGCACAGUAAGAGCUUGCUCUUACGGGUGGCGAGUGGCGGACGGGUGAGGAAUACAUCGGAAUCUACUUUUUCGUGGGGGAUAACGUAGGGAAACUUACGCUAAUACCGCAUACGACCUACGGGUGAAAGCAGGGGAUCUUCGGACCUUGCGCGAUUGAAUGAGCCGAUGUCGGAUUAGCUAGUUGGCGGGGUAAAGGCCCACCAAGGCGACGAUCCGUAGCUGGUCUGAGAGGAUGAUCAGCCACACUGUAACUGAGACACGGUCCCGACUCCUACGGGAGGAAGCAGUGGGGAAUAUUGGACAAUGGGGGCAAGCCUGAUCCAGCCAUACCGGGUGGGUGAAGAAGGCCUUCGGGUUGUAAAGCCCUUUUGUUGGGAAAGAAAAGCAGCAGGUUAAUACCCCGCUGUUCUGACGGUACCCAAAGAAUAAGCACCGGCUAACUUCGUG